GUCUGUGGCCGCGCCACCCUGAACAAGCCCCAUCCCGUCUGAGCUCGGAAGCUAAGCAGGGUCGGGGCUGGUUAGUACUUGGAUGGGAGACCACCUGGGAAGAUCAGGUGCUGUAGGCG
This 119-nucleotide ribosomal RNA is filed under the name Pteropus alecto (black flying fox). The record is from RNAcentral. Lineage: Eukaryota; Metazoa; Chordata; Mammalia; Chiroptera; Pteropodidae.